AAAAGAAGGAAAGAAGGGAAGAAUAAUGUGGAUUUAUUGAGGAGAAAGAGAAGUAAAUAUUUGGUGGCGUUUAAGAAGUGUUUGUGUUCCACCUGCAUGACAAGAUGAGGACUUUUUUUAAGGCAGCACUUCCAACAAGAAGAAGAUGAGGACAUGUUUGAGGCAGCACUUCCAACAAGAAGAAGAAGAUGAGGACAUGUUUGAGGCAGCACUUCCAACAAGAAGAAGAUGAGGACAUGUUUGAGGCAGCACUUCCAACAAGAAGAAGAUGAGGACAUGUUUGAGGCAGCACUUCCAACAAGAAGAAGAUGAGGACAUGUUUGAGGCAGCACUUCCAACAAGAAGAAGAUGAGGACAUGUUUGAGGCAGCACUUCCAACAAGAAGAAGAUGAGGACAUGUUUGAGGCAGCACUUCCAACAAGAAGAAGAUGAGGACAUGUUUGAGGCAGCACUUCCAACAAGAAGAAGAUGAGGACAUGUUUGAGGCAGCACUUCCAACAAGAAGAAGAUGAGGACAUGUUUGAGGCAGCACUUCCAACAAGAAGAAGAAGAUGAGGACAUGUUUGAGGCAGCACUUCCAACAAGAAGAAGAAGAUGAGGACAUGUUUGAGGCAGCACUUCCAACAAGAAGAAGAUGAGGACAUGUUUGAGGCAGCACUUCCAACAAGAAGAAGAUGAGGACAUGUUUAAGGCAGCACUUCCAACAAGAAGAAGAAGAUGAGGACAUGUUUGAGGCAGCACUUCCAACAACAAGAAGAAGAUGAGGACAUGUUUGAGGCAGCACUUCCAACAAGAAGAAGAUGAGGACAUUUUUGAGGCAGCACUUCCAACAAGAAGAAGAUGAGGACAUGUUUGAGGCAGCACUUCCAACAAGAAGAAGAAGAUGAGGACAUGUUUGAGGCAGCACUUCCAACAAGAAGAAGAUGAGGACAUGUUUGAGGCAGCACUUCCAACAAGAAGAAGAUGAGGACAUGUUUGAGGCAGCACUUCCAACAAGAAGAAGAUGAGGACAUGUUUAAGGCAGCACUUACAACAAGAAGAAGAUGAGGACAUGUUUGAGGCAGCACUUCCAACAAGAAGAAGAUGAGGACAUGUUUGAGGCAGCACUUCCAACAAGAAGAAGAUGAGGACAUGUUUAAGGCAGCACUUCCAACAAGAAGAAGAAGAUGAGGACAUGUUUGAGGCAGCACUUCCAACAAGAAGAAGAUGAGGACAUGUUUGAGGCAGCACUUCCAACAAGAAGAAGAUGAGGACAUGUUUGAGGCAGCACUUCCAACAAGAAGAAGAAGAUGAGGACAUGUUUGAGGCAGCACUUCCAACAAGAAGAAGAUGAGGACAUGUUUGAGGCAGCACUUCCAACAAGAAGAAGAUGAGGACAUGUUUAAGGCAGCACUUCCAACAAGAAGAAGAAGAUGAGGACAUGUUUGAGGCAGCACUUCCAACAACAAGAAGAAGAUGAGGACAUGUUUGAGGCAGCACUUCCAACAAGAAGAAGAUGAGGACAUUUUUGAGGCAGCACUUCCAACAAGAAGAAGAUGAGGACAUGUUUGAGGCAGCACUUCCAACAAGAAGAAGAUGAGGACAUGUUUGAGGCAGCACUUCCAACAAGAAGAAGAAGAUGAGGACAUGUUUGAGGCAGCACUUCCAACAAGAAGAAGAUGAGGACAUGUUUGAGGCAGCACUUCCAACAAGAAGAAGAUGAGGACAUGUUUGAGGCAGCACUUCCAAGAAGAAGAAGAUGAGGACAUGUUUGAGGCAGCACUUCCAACAAGAAGAAGAUGAGGACAUGUUUGAGGCAGCACUUCCAACAAGAAGAAGAUGAGGACAUGUUUGAGGCAGCACUUCCAACAAGAAGAAGGACUAGAAGUGACGUCAUACCUGAGUGGAAAAAGUUUGGACACCCCUGCCAUAUGGUCUCCACAUCAAAGGUCCAUUUCCCUACGAAGACCAUGCAUCCUGCCCAUCAACCAAUGGCCUCACCAGCCAAGUUUGAUCACUCUAUGGAGGCUGUACACCCCUCCCAUCCCCACACCGCUGGCCCAUCACCAAAUGUCCACACCUAUGGUCCUUCACCCGGCGUACACAAUAGCUUGCUACCUGAAUCCACCUGAGAAUAAAAAGGCAGCUUUCCUGGCACCAGACAGGAGAGAUGCAGGCAACCCAUCUAUUGAGGACACUAUCUGUUAUCAACCACAGGCAGAAAAAUCAUGGACGCCAUGUGAUGGAUGUAGGGAGGAGUUGGAAAAAAUGUGGGCAGAAAAAGAAGGAAUUGAAGAAGUCCUCUUGAAAAUAGAUCCGGUCCAAGUCAGAGUACUUCAAACUCUCUGCGACUUGGUUGGAGACAAAUACAGCGACGGCCCUCCUCAACAAUCGGGCCAGCAAGAGCUCUUUCCUGAGAGCGGCGUAUUCAUAUCAUUGUUCCGCCUUGCUGCCAUGAGACAUGCUGCAGAGCCCAAAUGUAUGCCUUUAUUUGGACCUCUUUUUUCUACGUGUCAAAAUGCUGUCCCUUUUUGACGCCCUGGAAACAAACCUGCAGGAACACCAAAGCGCAUCCUUAAGCGGAAAAAAGUGGAAGGAAUCCUUACGUAUGUCCUGAGAUGCAGUACCCUUCCUGAUUGGGACGAUAUUGAGGAGGUCAAGCUCAAGAAAGCUUUGGUAAACAAAAGUCAGGCCAGAGAGGGUUUGAAGUAGGCCCUUGUACCUGUCAAGUUCAUUCUAUGGUAGGAUGUUCAAUAUUUUGGUCUAGGUUUGCGCAGUAUAUGUUGUCAAAAAUGGCCCUAUGAUGUAGCUUUUAGUACCAGGUUAUACUGUGAUAAUGCAUAUUGAGCUGUGCUGUGCCAAGCAAAUUUGGCAGUGAUGCAACCUCACUAACAAGCUAGCGGCUAAUAUCCUUUUACAGUUCAAAGUUGUUUCCAAAUCAAAAAAAAAUGACGCAGUACGUUACUGCUUACAUAAUCAGGUAUAUUAGUAGCUUUUGUAACCAAUUUCAACAUGUUUCAAUGAUCAUUUGUGUAGCAAAUGUUAUAUUGUUAUGGCAGGAGGCUGUUCUAUUGUUUACAACAGUGUUUCUUAAUCCUAGGGCUGGGGCCCACUGUUUGGCUGCGAGUACCCCUUGGAAGCCGCCAAUAAAUAUCUGUUUCUUAGCUGUGGUCCGUCCAUAUGGGCCGCAAUGGUACUCGCUUGUAAUCCACUUUAGUGUAGAAGGACUCAUUCAGUGUUUAUAUUUCAUUUGGCCCCAGACCCCUCUGUAGUGGAACAUUCUGAGACCCCUCUGUGGUGGAAAAGUUGGUCGUGCCCCAAGGUUAAAAAUGUUAAGAAUCCCUGCUUUUCAAUGUGUGAUUAUUUUUUGGUAUGUAGACCAGUUCCAGACAGCACGGUUACAAUUUUAUAAAUGUAUUUCAGUUUUUGCUUGGAAUAUUUCAAAAAUGGAAAUGUUGUCAUUUACUCACCUUCUUACUGAGAUGAAGUCAAGUGUUUUUUGAACUAAGGUACCUGCUUUGCUCAACAAGGAGUUCAAAAAACUACACCUGACUUUUUCACAAUAACAAAGUGAGUACUUCAGGUCAAAUUCAUUUAUUUUUGUAUUUGUUUUCUUUUCUGUAUAUUGUUUUCUAUGUUGUCUUAAGUAUUGUA
This is an RNA transcript of Nerophis ophidion (straightnose pipefish), 3633 nucleotides long. RefSeq lists it as uncharacterized. Lineage: Eukaryota; Metazoa; Chordata; Actinopteri; Syngnathiformes; Syngnathidae. The record is from RefSeq and is a predicted model, not a curated record. The transcript has 4 exons.